Molecule: ribosomal RNA, 252 nt
Filed under: uncultured bacterium
Lineage: Bacteria
Description: partial 16S ribosomal RNA
Rfam family: Bacterial small subunit ribosomal RNA
Source: RNAcentral
UACGAAGGGGGCGAGCGUUGUUCGGAAUUACUGGGCGUAAGGGCGCGCAGGCGGCCUUAGAAGUCAGAUGUGAAAGCCCCGGGCUCAACCUGGGAAUGGCAUUUGAUACUCUGAGGCUGGAGUACGGGAGAGGAGAGUGGAAUUCCCGGUGUAGCGGUGAAAUGCGUAGAGAUCGGGAGGAACAUCAGUGGCGAAGGCGGCCCUCUGGACCAGUACUGACGCUGAGGCACGAAAGCGUGGGGAGCAAACAGG